GAUGAACGCUAGCUACAGGCUUAACACAUGCAAGUCGAGGGGAAACGACAUCGAAAGCUUGCUUUUGAUGGGCGUCGACCGGCGCACGGGUGAGUAACGCGUAUCCAACCUGCCCACCACUUGGGGAUAACCUUGCGAAAGUAAGACUAAUACCCAAUGAUAUCUCUAGAAGACAUCUGAAAGAGAUUAAAGAUUUAUCGGUGAUGGAUGGGGAUGCGUCUGAUUAGCUUGUUGGCGGGGUAACGGCCCACCAAGGCAACGAUCAGUAGGGGUUCUGAGAGGAAGGUACCCCACAUUGGAACUGAGACACGGUCCAAACUCCUACGGGAGGCAGCAGUGAGGAAUAUUGGUCAAUGGACGAGAGUCUGAACCAGCCAAGUAGCGUGCAGGAAGACGGCCCUAUGGGUUGUAAACUGCUUUUAUAAGGGAAUAAAGUGAGUCUCGUGAGACUUUUUGCAUGUACCUUAUGAAUAAGGACCGGCUAAUUCCGUG
Molecule: ribosomal RNA, 492 nt
Filed under: uncultured bacterium
Lineage: Bacteria
Description: partial 16S ribosomal RNA
Rfam family: Bacterial small subunit ribosomal RNA
Source: RNAcentral